GACGAACGCUGGCGGCGUGCUUAACACAUGCAAGUCGAACGGAAAGGCCCCUUUUGGGGUCCUCGAGUGGCUGACGGGUGAGUAACACGUGAGUAACCUGCCCUUGUCUUCGGGAUAACUUCACGAAACUGGGGCUAAUACCGCCUCGUAAUCCUUGCUGCAUGGUGGGGGUUGGAAAGCUUCGGCGGUUUUGGUUGUACUCGCGGCUUAUCUGCUUGCUGUUGGGGUAUUGGCUUACCAAGGCUUUGACGGGUAGCCGGCCUGAGAGGGCGACAGGCCACACUGGGACUGAGAGGAGGCCGAGACUCGUAAGGGAGGCAGAAGGGGGGAAUAUUGCACAAUGGGCGGAGGCCGGAUGAAGAAGGGCCGCGGGCGGGAAGACGGCCUUGGGGGUGUAAAACGCUUUCAGCAGGAGAGAAGCUUGUGGUGACGGUACCUGCAGAAGAAGCACCGGCUAACUACGUG
Molecule: ribosomal RNA, 465 nt
Filed under: uncultured bacterium
Lineage: Bacteria
Description: partial 16S ribosomal RNA
Rfam family: Bacterial small subunit ribosomal RNA
Source: RNAcentral